This 497-nucleotide ribosomal RNA is filed under the name uncultured bacterium. Its description in RNAcentral is "partial 16S ribosomal RNA". It matches the Rfam family "Bacterial small subunit ribosomal RNA", at positions 28 to 507 of the family's 1533-position model. The record is from RNAcentral.
GAUGAACGCUGGCGGCGUGCCUAAUACAUGCAAGUCGAGCGAACAGACGAGGAGCUUGCUCCUCUGACGUUAGCGGCGGACGGGUGAGUAACACGUGGAUAACCUACCUAUAAGACUGGGAUAACUUCGGGAAACCGGAGCUAAUACCGGAUAAUUAUUGAAACGGAAUGGUUAAUUGUUAAAGACGGGUUUUGUUGUAACUAUUGGUGGAAUCCGCGCCGCAUUAGCUAGUUGGUAAGGUAACGGCUUACCAAGGCAACGAUGCGUAGCCGACCUGAGAGGGUGAUCGGCCACACUGGAACUGAGACACGGUCCAGACUCCUACGGGAGGCAGCAGUAGGGAAUCUUCCGCAAUGGGCGAAAGCCUGACGGAGCAACGCCGCGUGAGUGAUGAAGGUCUUCGGAUCGUAAAACUCUGUUAUUAGGGAAGAACAAAUGUGUAAGUAACUAUGCACGUCUUGACGGUACCUAAUCAGAAAGCCACGGCUAACUACGUG